UAAAAAUAUUUUUGAAUGUUUGAAUGUAUAGAUUUAUUGUGGGAUGCAACCAGUAAUACAAAAAUAUUAAAUUCGUUUUUCUCCGUUUUAUAUUACAAAUUAUACACUUAUACAAAUGUUUUUAACGCUUUAUAUUUCUUUAUUUCACAAUACAUAUAUUUCUUUAUUUCACAAUACAUAUAUUUCUUUAUCCAAUCCACAAUUUAGACGUAAUAUUAUUUUAAUACAGCAAAAAAUGAUCGUGCUCAAUCUGACAACGUUGACGGUGCGACAUUCUCCGUGCAUUCUCCGUUGGACGCCGUAUCAAGACCUUACGUCGUUCUUACAAUUUUUCUGAUUUUUGGUAGAAAAGGUGAUUUUUCUGUACACUAUUUCAGUGUAUACUGUUCAUUAAGGCCUGUUUAAGCUCUUGAAAAUGAGUAUUAUUAAUAAUACAGAUCAGCACAUAAUGACCACAUAAAAGAAGAGACCUUGGUCACCUCUUGUAUAAUCCUGAUGUUUGGCCAUCAUUCUGGUUUACGAGCUUGAUUAUCUAUUAUCUGAUUAAAUAUUUUAGUACAACAAAUCAAUGGAUGCGUACAGUAGUUUCAGGGCAGUACAUUUAUCCUUUUCACGAAUAUUACGAACAAUGGUAUCAGGACUUAUAAGUAUAUCCAAAUAUCUAAAAUUUUAUUUCUUUUGGGUAAAUAUAUUUAUACUGGUUUUUAAUGUUCAUCAAUGGAUUUCAUGAUUUCCAAAUUUAAUUAAGUAGGAAAAAAUUUCCAAUGAGUCUCUGACUUGACAUUUUUUUUGUUCUUUAUUCUCAUAGAAAAAUUCAGAUCAUCUAUUUUUAGUUUGGGGCAAUUUUGGCUUUUGGUAAU
This is a long non-coding RNA of Sitophilus oryzae (rice weevil), 860 nucleotides long. RefSeq lists it as uncharacterized. The transcript has 3 exons. The record is from RefSeq and is a predicted model, not a curated record. NCBI's taxonomy places the organism in Eukaryota, Metazoa, Arthropoda, Insecta, Coleoptera, Curculionidae.